UGGGGAAUUUUGGACAAUGGGCGCAAGCCUGAUCCAGCCAUGCCGCGUGCGGGAAGAAGGCCUUCGGGUUGUAAACCGCUUUUGUCAGGGAAGAAAUCUUCUGAGUUAAUACCUCGGGAGGAUGACGGUACCUGAAGAAUAAGCACCGGCUAACUACGUGCCAGCAGCCGCGGUAAUACGUAGGGUGCAAGCGUUAAUCGGAAUUACUGGGCGUAAAGCGUGCGCAGGCGGUUUUGUAAGACAGAGGUGAAAUCCCCGGGCUCAACCUGGGAACUGCCUUUGUGACUGCAAGGCUUGAGUGCGGCAGAGGGGGGAUGGAAUUCCGCGUGUAGCAGUGAAAUGCGUAGAUAUGCGGAGGAACACCGAUGGCGAAGGCAAUCCUCUGGGCCUGCACUGACGCUCAUGCACGAAAGCGUGGGGAGCAAACAGGAUUAGAUCCCUGGUAGUCCACGCCCUAAAACGAUGUCAACUGGUUGUUGGGAAGGUUCCUUCUCAGUAACGUAGCUAACGCGUGAAGUUGACCGCCUGGGGAGUACGGCCGCAAGGUUG
Molecule: ribosomal RNA, 549 nt
Filed under: uncultured bacterium
Lineage: Bacteria
Description: partial 16S ribosomal RNA
Rfam family: Bacterial small subunit ribosomal RNA
Source: RNAcentral